Molecule: ribosomal RNA, 303 nt
Filed under: uncultured bacterium
Lineage: Bacteria
Description: partial 16S ribosomal RNA
Rfam family: Bacterial small subunit ribosomal RNA
Source: RNAcentral
AGCAGUAGCCGCGGUAAUACGGAGGGGGCUAGCGUUGUUCGGAAUUACUGGGCGUAAAGCGCACGUAGGCGGCUUGGUAAGCUAGAGGUGAAAGCCUGGAGCUCAACUCCAGAAUUGCCUUUAAGACUGCCGAGCUAGCAGGUGAGAGAGGUAAGUGGAAUUCCGAGUGUAGAGGUGAAAUUCGUAGAUAUUCGGAAGAACACCAGUGGCGAAGGCGGCUUACUGGCUCAUACUGGACGCUGAGGUGCGAAAGCGUGGGGAGCAAACAGGAUUAGAUACCCCCGUAGUCCCUGUCUCUUAUAC